GACGAACGCUGGCGGCGUGCCUAAUACAUGCAAGUAGAACGCACAGUUUAUACCGUAGCUUGCUACACCAUAAACUGUGAGUUGCGAACGGGUGAGUAACGCGUAGGUAACCUUCCUGGUAGCGGGGGAUAACUAUUGGAAACGAUAGCUAAUACCGCAUAAUAUUUAUUAUUGCAUGAUAAUUGAUUGAAAGAUGCUAUUGCAUCACUACCAGAUGGACCUGCGUUGUAUUAGCUAGUAGGUGAGGUAACGGCUCACCUAGGCGACGAUACAUAGCCGAACUGAGAGGGUGAUCGGCCACACUGGGACUGAGACACGGCACAGACUCCUACGGGAGGCAGCAGUAGGGAAUCUUCGGCAAUGGACGAAAGUCUGAGCGAGAAACGCCGCGUGAGUGAAGAAGGUUUUCGGAUCGUAAAGCUCUGUUGUAAGAGAAGAACGGGUGUGAGAGUGGAAAGUUCACACUGUGACGGUAUCUUACCAGAAAGGGACGGCUAACUACGUG
Molecule: ribosomal RNA, 505 nt
Filed under: uncultured bacterium
Lineage: Bacteria
Description: partial 16S ribosomal RNA
Rfam family: Bacterial small subunit ribosomal RNA
Source: RNAcentral